Molecule: non-coding RNA, 234 nt
Organism: Pelobates cultripes (western spadefoot toad)
Lineage: Eukaryota; Metazoa; Chordata; Amphibia; Anura; Pelobatidae
Source: the annotation of a GenBank genome assembly
CAGCUUGCAAGAGAUAUAUGCAAUAUCUGCACCCAACAAAGGUGCAGACCAAAAGCCCAAGCAUCCCAUGAAGGGACGGGGUUGGUCAGCCAGUGUCACAUCCUCUGAUGGCAUCACCUGGUGUGGUCUGCACCCACUUAAUGACACCACUUCUUAAUAUGAUUGCAUUUUACCUUGGUUCCUUUUCACGGAUUUUCGAUUAGAUAUUGAGUUCAUGCAUUCGUUGUAUUCCAG